This 1585-nucleotide long non-coding RNA is filed under the name Pan troglodytes (chimpanzee). RNAcentral's name for it is "lincRNA". The record is from RNAcentral. Lineage: Eukaryota; Metazoa; Chordata; Mammalia; Primates; Hominidae.
UUUUAUAAUUAAAACAUUUAUAAAUAUUUAUAAUUAAAACAUUUAUAAUUACAUAUUUUAUAAUUAAAAUAUUUAUAAUUACAUAUUUUAUAAUUAAAGUAUUUAUAAUUACAUAUUUUAUAAUUAAAGUAUUUAUAAUUACAUAUUUUAUAAUUCAAUAUUUUAUAAAUAGUUAAAAAGACGAGGAAAAAAUUAAAAAGACGAGGUUAUUGAUCUCAGGAAUUGUAUUUGCCAAGUGAGAAGGAAAAAAUAUUCACAAAGGCUUGUACAUACUUUGAUCCUGAGGAACACCUCUGGUGUGUUCAUGUGCCACAUAGUCUUCCUCACUGACAGUCUGCCUUUGCAAGGCAAGGCUCUCCGGUAGGCCUCGAGAUGAAACAACAGGUCCUUUAUUUCACUCAGCCUGCCAGGAGUGGAGAAGGAAUGGCUAGGGAGUCCUAGCCCCAGGGGCUUCAUGGCAAUAGGGACCCCAGAUGUCUCCCUGGAGCUCUGCCAGGAUCCAUUCAAGGCCAAGAAAGUAUGAUUGGGAGAGGAGGGGUGGAGAUGUAGAUUCCUAACAAUUCUGUGACCCAGCAUACAUGUAUGCUCUUUAGGCUCUUAAGCAUCCUUAUUUUUCCAAACAUAAUAUCCAACAAUCCCAAGUGUAAUAAAAACCCAAGGGUUUCUCCUGCCACAUCCACUCACUUCAAACUCUGAUUUUAAACACUGGCAAUGUCCAGUCAGAGCCUCCAAGCUGAGCUCUAGAAAGAGAAAGCUGCAAAAAACCUGUGCAACAAAACUUGCACUCAUAUUACUGACAAGGGUAGAUAUAAAACAGCGCAUUCUUUUCCAUGACACUGAAGAGCAAAGAAGAGUGUAACUUGGGAGCAAUAAGAAAUUGGAGGUCACCACCUCCCAAAUCCUACAUGAGGUCUAUUUGGAAAAGACCUCCUUUUUUAAUUCAAAAAUCCUUCAACCUCCACCAUUCUUUCAUAAAGCUUCACAUUCUCUUGGUGAAGCCCACUGUUAAAAUGCACAGGCGUUACCUGGAAAAGGAAACACAUAGCCUUAACAAUAUUCUUCUGUACUGAACUGAAGAGUGAGAAAGAGUCUAUGGAGCUAUAAUACGGUAGUGUAUGAAUCUGGUACUCAAGGAAAGUCUGUUGGAUAAUGGAUGGAUGGAUGGAUGGAUGGGUGGGUGAGCGAAUAAAUGAGUGGAUAAAUGAGGGGUCAGUUUUGAGAGUGAGAGAAACAUGGAAAUUAGACUCAAAUCCCAAGGCACCACAUGGAAUAGUUCCAGGAAUAGUUCUGCAAGAGUUUCCCUGAUGAGCUAUAAGCAGCAAAAAUCUAGUGAGUGUUCAAACUGAAAGGAGGCCUGGAAUUGUGGCUUAAUUUGGAGGGAAAGAGGGAGUCCAAGAUUCCCAGUGCUUAUUUGUUGAUAUCUAUCUAGUGCUGAAAGGAAAAAAAAAUAGCCACAAAUCCAAAAGGAUUGUGCAGUCACAUGGUACCCACUGCCCAGUUCCUUGACCAGUGUCCCUCAUACAAAGGGCCCCUGAUGAGCUCAGAAUGUCUUUGUUGAACUGAAUGAAGUUUGAAGAACAAGGGA